This 460-nucleotide ribosomal RNA is filed under the name uncultured bacterium. Its description in RNAcentral is "partial 16S ribosomal RNA". It matches the Rfam family "Bacterial small subunit ribosomal RNA", at positions 338 to 795 of the family's 1533-position model. The record is from RNAcentral.
CCUACGGGAGGCAGCAGUGAGGAAUAUUGGUCAAUGGACGAGAGCCUGAACCAGCCAAGUAGCGUGAAGGAAGACUGCCCUACGGGUCGUAAACUUCUUUUAUAAAGGAAUAAAGUGAGGGACGUGUGCCUUUUUGCAUGUACUUUAUGAAUAAGGAUUGGCUAACUCCGUGCCAGCAGCCGCGGUAAUACGGAGGAUCCGAGCGUUAUCCGGAUUUAUUGGGUUUAAAGGGAGCGUAGAUGGGGUGUUAAGUCAGUUGUGAAAGUUUGCGGCUCAACCGUAAAAUUGCAAUUGAUACUGGCAGUCUUGAGUACAGUUGAGGUAGGCGGAAUUCGUGGUGUAGCGGUGAAAUGCUUAGAUAUCACGAAGAACCCCGAUUGCGAAGGCAGCUUACUAAACUGUGACUGACAUUGAUGCUCGAAAGUGUGGGUAUCAAACAGGAUUAGAUACCCCGGUAGUC